Homo sapiens (human) is the source of this 1346-nucleotide long non-coding RNA. RefSeq lists it as uncharacterized. NCBI's taxonomy places the organism in Eukaryota, Metazoa, Chordata, Mammalia, Primates, Hominidae. The record is from RefSeq and is a predicted model, not a curated record. The transcript is spliced from 2 exons.
AGUAGCUACUGUCUAGCUCACAACUCGAAACCUCUGAUCAUGUUCUGUAGAGUACACCCGCUCAACUGAUCCAAUGCAACCAAUACAGUAUUGGAAGCUUUCUACGAACAAGGCACCCAGAGAGGGCUCGGAGGAAGAUGACAGUGCCAACGGGCACAGGGAGAAUCGUGAGCUUACUGCACCUUCCCAGCAGGCAGAGUGAGCCCGUAGGACAAGAGCCCCCUUUCUCCGUUUCCCAUCUGCCCUGCAGCCCCGAGGAACGGUCCAUUCUACAGACAAGAGGCCUGACGCUCAGAAGCAAAGCAACUUGCCACAAUCGCAUCACCGCGAUUCGUUUCCUAUUCCACAUCGCCACCUGGCGGCCAUGGAGAGAGAACACCGCGCGUUUUUUAUCAAGCGGGCAAAGGCAGGGGAAUCCUCACGCCAAACGGGUUUGAAGACCUCUUCACACGGACGGCCAGGUCUCUACGGGACUCGCCCUUACACUAACUCCACUACAGCCCGCUCUGUCGGUGGAGGAAAUAGACGUGGAAGGCUUCCCUUCAUCACCUGGUGGCUGCCGGGCCACAUCCUGUACAAGCCGGGGCCAGCUCUAAGUCUACCCCAAAGCCUCAGCGUGCCUCUUCCCUCUAACUCAGGCGAAAGUACCUUCAAGACAGUCCUGGACGCGGUGGCUUCACGCCUGUAAUACCAGCACUUUGGGAGGCCAAGGCAAGAGGAUCACUGGAUCACUUGAGCCCAGAAGUUUGAGACUAGCCUGGACAACAUAGUGAAACCCCUGUCUUUACAAAAAUUGAUUAAUUAAUUAAUUGUUUAAAAGAGACUAUUCCUCAUUCUUUUGACAUCAUUUUAAAUGAGAAUGCAGAAUAUGACAUUGUACAUACUGAUAUUUGAUUCCUUUUAUAUAACCUUUCAUGUAUUAAAAAACUGCACUGAAAAUCUAGAAUUAAGUUAAAAUUGGUGUGGGUUAUUUGUGAAUGGUGGGAUUUUUUAAAUGUAUUCCAACACCCAUAUAUUCCAACUUUUCCACACUUCCAAAGUCUGGAAUACUUUGAGGAUGGGGAGGAAAGAUAUGUUUACGGUCCUUGGGAAACUGAAAAGCAUUUCCUGUGAUGUCCCAGGGAGCUGGGGCACAGGAGCCAGCCUUGAAGUGGAAACCCCAGGCCAUCCACUCACAAUCUGAGUAUCCUUGGGUGAGUGAUCUCUCUAACCUCCCAUCGAGUCCCCUGUAAACUAGAAAUAAUUAUAGCUGCCCACAUCACUGUCUUACUAUAAGAGUAAAAUGAGAUAAUGUAUUUUAAAACAUUGGUAUAGUGUGAGUAUUCAAUAAAUAUUCUUUGAGUGAA